This 311-nucleotide ribosomal RNA is filed under the name uncultured bacterium. RNAcentral describes it as "bacterial SSU rRNA". It matches the Rfam family "Bacterial small subunit ribosomal RNA", at positions 28 to 334 of the family's 1533-position model. The record is from RNAcentral.
GACGAACGCUGGCGGCGCGCCUAACACAUGCAAGUCGAACGAGAGAGAGGAAGCUUGCUUCCUUAAUCGAGUGGCGAACGGGUGAGUAACGCGUGAGGAACCUGCCUCAAAGAGGGGGACAACAGUUGGAAACGACUGCUAAUACCGCAUAAGCCCACAGCUCGGCAUCGAGCAGAGGGAAAAGGAGUGAUCCGCUUUGAGAUGGCCUCGCGUCCGAUUAGCUAGUUGGUGGGGUAAUAGCCUACCAAGGCGACGAUCAGUAGCCGGACUGAGAGGUUGAACGGCCACAUUGGGACUGAGAUACGGCCCAG